This 253-nucleotide ribosomal RNA is filed under the name uncultured bacterium. Its description in RNAcentral is "partial 16S ribosomal RNA". It matches the Rfam family "Bacterial small subunit ribosomal RNA", at positions 524 to 776 of the family's 1533-position model. The record is from RNAcentral.
UACGGAGGGUGCAAGCGUUAUCCGGAAUCACUGGGUUUAAAGGGUCCGCAGGCGGGCUGAUAAGUCAGUGGUGAAAUCCCAUGGCUCAACCAUGGAACUGCCAUUGAUACUGUCAGUCUUGAGUAAGGUGGAAGUUGGCGGAAUACAGCAUGUAGCGGUGAAAUGCGUAGAUAUGCUGUAGAACACCGAUUGCGAAGGCAGCUGACUAUACCUUUACUGACGCUGAGGGACGAAAGCGUGGGGAGCGAACAGG